GCUAAACAGCUAGUUUAAUCUUUAAAUUAACUAAAAAAUAUACAUUUAACUUAACAACCUUAAAAUAGUAAUUAAAACAUUUUAACAAUUCUAGUAAGGGAGACUAAAAAAAUAAUAACUAAACGAUAGAAGAAGUACCGCAAGGGAAAGCUGAAAAAGAAAUGAAAUAAACCAUAUAAGCACAACAAAGCAAAGACUAAACCUUGUACCUUUUGCAUCAUGAUUUAGCCAGAACAUAAAAGCAAAGAGACCUAUAGUUUUUAACCCCGAAACCAGGUGAGCUACCCCAAGACAGCCUAAUAUGCAGGGCAAACUCGUCUCUGUGGCAAAAGAGUGAGAAGAGCUUUGGGUAGCAGUGAUAGACCUACCGAACCUGGUGAUAGCUGGUUGUCCGUGAAAUGAAUAUCAGUUCAGCCUUGUUUACCUUAAAUUAAAUAAACUUAAAAUAAGAAGAUAAAUUCAAGAGUUAGUUAAAGGGGGUACAGCCCCUGUAACUAAGGAUACAACCUUAAAAAGAGCAUAAAGAUCAAAAUUAAUAAAGACUAUUGCACUAGUGGGCCUGAAAGCAGCCACCUACGUAGAAAGCGUUAAAGCUCAAACAAAUUUAGUCUAAUAAUACUGAUAACUUUUCUUAAUGCCUUUUAACUACCGGACCAAUCCAUGCUAACAUGGAAGAGAUUAUGCUAAAAUGAGUAACAAGAAAGCAUUGACUUUCUCCUAACACAAGUGUAAAUUAGAUCGGACAAACCACUAAUAACUAACAAACCCAAUAAAAGAGGGGAUAUGAAUAAGAAACUAGGAAAGUAUCACAUAUAAAUUGUUAACCCAACACAGGAGUGUAAAUAAUGGAAAGACUUAAAGAAAAAGAAGGAACUCGGCAAACAAAGGCCUCGCCUGUUUACCAAAAACAUCGCCUCCUGAUUGUUAAAGAUAGGAGGUCCAGCCUGCCCAGUGACUACAAGUUAAACGGCCGCGGUAUUUUGACCGUGCAAAGGUAGCGCAAUCACUCGUCCUCUAAAUAGGGACCUGUAUGAAUGGCUAAACGAGGGCUAAACUGUCUCCUUUUUUCAGUCAGUGAAAUUGAUCCACCCGUGCAGAAGCGGGCAUAAGUAUACAAGACGAGAAGACCCUAUGGAGCUUUAGGCAAAGCCUCUAAUUAUGUCAAACAAGUACAAAUAAGUACAAGAACUCAAUAAGAACUAGAGACUUGCCUUCGGUUGGGGCGACCAAGGAGAACAAAAUAUCCUCCUAGUGGACUAGGAAAAUCCUAGAACUAAGAAAAAUUCUUCUAAGGCACAGAAUAUCUGACCAAACAUGAUCCGGCCAAGGCCGAUCAACGGACCUAGUUACCCUAGGGAUAACAGCGCAAUCCUCUUCAAGAGUCCCUAUCGACAAGGGGGUUUACGACCUCGAUGUUGGAUCAGGACAUCCUAAUGGUGUAGCCGCUAUUAAAGGUUCGUUUGUUCAACGAUUAACAGUCCUACGUGAUCUGAGUUCAGACCGGAGUAAUCCAGGUCAGUUUCUAUCUGUAAAGCUAUUUUUUCCUAGUACGAAAGGACCGGAAGAAGAGGGCCAAUGCUUUAGGUAAGCCCUAACCCCAAUUUAUGAAUAAAAAUAAAUAAAGCAAGGGAAAGCUGACACAAACCCUAAAUUAGGGCUA
RNAcentral lists this ribosomal RNA (1660 nucleotides) under Danionella dracula. RNAcentral describes it as "16S rRNA". It matches the Rfam family "Bacterial large subunit ribosomal RNA". The record is from RNAcentral. Lineage: Eukaryota; Metazoa; Chordata; Actinopteri; Cypriniformes; Danionidae.